UACGGAGGGUGCAAGCAUUAAUCGGAAUUAUUGGGCGUACAGGGUGCGUAGGCUGUGCGGUAAGUCACCUGUGAAAUCUCCGAGCUCAACUCGGAGCCUGCAGGCGAAACUGCCGUGCUGGAGUAUGGGAGAGGUGCGUGGAAUUCCCGGUGUAGCGGUGAAAUGCGUAGAUUUCGGGAGGAACACCUGUGGCGAAAGCGGCGCACUGGACCAUAACUGACGCUGAGGCGCGAAAGCUAGGGGUGCAAACGGG
RNAcentral lists this ribosomal RNA (253 nucleotides) under uncultured bacterium. Its description in RNAcentral is "partial 16S ribosomal RNA". It matches the Rfam family "Bacterial small subunit ribosomal RNA", at positions 524 to 776 of the family's 1533-position model. The record is from RNAcentral.